GAUGAAGAACGCAGCGAAAUGCGAUAAGUAAUGUGAAUUGCAGAAUUCAGUGAAUCAUCGAGUCUUUGAACGCACAUUGCGCCCCCUGGUAUUCCGGGGGGCAUGCCUGUCCGAGCGUCAUUGCUGCCCUCAAGCACGGCUUGUGUGUUGGGCCCCCGUCCCCGGUUUCCCCCGGGGACGGGCCCGAAAGGCAGCGGCGGCACCGCGUCCGGUCCUCGAGCGUAUGGGGCUUUGUCACCCGCUCUGUAGGCCCGGCCGGCGCCAGCCGACACCCAACUUUAUUUCUAAGGUUGACCUCGGAUCAGGUAGGGACACCCGCUGAACUUAAGCAUAUCAAUAAGCGGAGGA
This 348-nucleotide unclassified non-coding RNA is filed under the name soil metagenome. RNAcentral's name for it is "partial contains 5.8S ribosomal RNA, internal transcribed spacer 2, and large subunit ribosomal RNA". The stretch from base 1 to 120 matches the Rfam family "5.8S ribosomal RNA", at positions 35 to 154 of the family's 154-position model. The record is from RNAcentral.